RNAcentral lists this ribosomal RNA (492 nucleotides) under uncultured bacterium. Its description in RNAcentral is "partial 16S ribosomal RNA". It matches the Rfam family "Bacterial small subunit ribosomal RNA", at positions 29 to 507 of the family's 1533-position model. The record is from RNAcentral.
AGUGAACGCUGGCGGUAGGCCUAACACAUGCAAGUCGAACGGCAGCACAGUAAGAGCUUGCUCUUACGGGUGGCGAGUGGCGGACGGGUGAGGAAUACAUCGGAAUCUACUUUUUCGUGGGGGAUAACGUAGGGAAACUUACGCUAAUACCGCAUACGACCUACGGGUGAAAGUAGGGGAUCUUCGGACCUUGCGCGAUUGAAUGAGCCGAUGUCGGAUUAGCUAGUUGGCGGGGUAAAGGCCCACCAAGGCGACGAUCCGUAGCUGGUCUGGGAGGAUGAUCAGCCACACUGGAACUGAGACACGGUCCAGACUCCUACGGGAGGCAGCAGUGGGGAAUAUUGGACAAUGGGCGCAAGCCUGAUCCAGCCAUACCGCGUGGGUGAAGAAGGCCUUCGGGUUGUAAAGCCCUUUUGUUGGGAAAGAAAAGCAGCAGGUUAAUACCCCGCUGUUCUGACGGUACCCAAAGAAUAAGCACCGGCUAACUUCGUG